RNAcentral lists this ribosomal RNA (424 nucleotides) under uncultured bacterium. Its description in RNAcentral is "partial 16S ribosomal RNA". It matches the Rfam family "Bacterial small subunit ribosomal RNA", at positions 359 to 774 of the family's 1533-position model. The record is from RNAcentral.
GAAUAUUGGACAAUGGGGGGAACCCUGAUCCAGCCAUGCCGCGUGUGUGAAGAAGGCCUUUUGGUUGUAGACCACUUUACGCGAGGAGGUGGCUACCCUCGACACUACCUAGGGAUAGUGGACGUGACGCGCAGAAUAAGCGUCGGCCAACUCGGUGCCAGCAGCCGCGGUAAUACAGGAGGUGCAAGCGGUAAUCGGAUUUACUGGGCGUAAAGCGCGCGUAGGUGGCCAAUUAAGUCAAAUGUGAAAUCCCCGAGCUUAACUUGGGAAUUGCAUUCGAUACUGGUUGGCUAGAGUAUGGGAGAGGAUGGUAGAAUUCCAGGUGUAGCGGUGAAAUGCGUAGAGAUCUGGAGGAAUACCGAUGGCGAAGGCAGCCAUCUGGCCUAAUACUGACACUGAGGUGCGAAAGCAUGGGGAGCAAACA